This 254-nucleotide long non-coding RNA is filed under the name Ananas comosus (pineapple). RNAcentral describes it as "long non-coding RNA (ACOM_LNC016108)". The record is from RNAcentral. Lineage: Eukaryota; Viridiplantae; Streptophyta; Magnoliopsida; Poales; Bromeliaceae.
UUCUUUCGAUUUGUUCUUUACUAACGGACCCGAACCCAGAUGAUCCCUUGGUUCCGGAGAUUGCGCACAUGUACAAGACCGACAGGCACAAGUACGAGACCACCGCGAGGAGCUGGACCCAGAAAUACGCCAUGGGCUAAGCACUCAAAACUAGUUAAAUCGGAGAUCGUCGUGGGUGUCUCCGUAUCCAUGUCUUAAAACUUUGUGGUGCCCCUUCUGCUUCUCAGUCAAUAUUAUGUAUAAGUUCAACCAGU